Molecule: RNA transcript, 3002 nt
Organism: Xenia sp. Carnegie-2017
Lineage: Eukaryota; Metazoa; Cnidaria; Anthozoa; Malacalcyonacea; Xeniidae
Exons: 5
Source: RefSeq, a predicted model, not a curated record
GUUUCGUUAGAAUGAUACGAUUAACUUUACUCGGAUGACUAUUUGAGAGCCAUGCUUUACUCGAUGAUGGAAAGUGUCCAUUUUGAAAACAUUUCCUAGUGUCAAUGUAAUCUGCUUUUUCUAAAGGAAUACCAUUGAUAGAAAAAUGUAUGUUAAUUAAAGUAUAAUAAAUAUAUUAAACUACGCAUAUGUACAAUCCUCAAAUAUUCAACGUAAAAAAGUCUGCAGGUUACGUCAUUAUAUAAGCAAACAAUCCGAAGCAAGACAAAAACACUCGUCAUGUAAUGUUUCGAGUUCAUUAAAACAACCAUUGUAUAUUGUAUAUUUUAGGCUUGUUUACUACCAAGUGGCCACUCACUAAAUUAAGAACGACUACGACUUUGCUGCCAAAGACUAGGACAACUGUUGAUACAAGCAAAGAACUUGAGGAUGCAAUCCGAGAAAACAAUUUGGUCGACAAUCAAAAAAUAAGAAAGAAAAUUCGCCCAAGUGUUGCAGAGAUUGUUGUAAUAGCUAUGGUUUCAUUUUCAGUCUCUGUCAUUGCAAUUGCCGUUGUCGUGCUUUUAAGGAUGAGAAGUCGAAGCAUGAUGAACAGAAAAAGAGCAGGCGGACAGUCCUCUGAGAGUGACAAGCCUUCUACAGUACGUGGCGACAACGUAAGCAUGGACGAAAAUCAAAAAGGAUCAGCAAACUCGGCUAACGACAAAGUACCACAACUUCACACCUGUGGCAAUUGUGUACAAGAAACACAAUCUACUGAGCUAAUUAACAAUUAGUAUAGGGUGUUUCCAUUGGUCGCAUGUUGGAAGAAAAUUCCAUAUAUAGUGAAAGGAAUUUAUGUUAAUUUUAUGCUUUGUUGAGCUCUUUGAUGCAGUCCUCCAACAUGGCCGCUUCGAUGUCACCUGCAAACACCAUAUAUUAUAUAUCGAUUUGCAGUUAGUAGUCUAUGCAUAUAAAACUUUGACACUCGUACAAAAUAUUUAUUUUACGUCACUAAUGGCAAUAUCAUAAUAAAAAUUAAAGUUUUGAAUGGCAACUCUAAGAGAGCUUGUUGUUGUUAAAAGACAACUUUCAUGACAAAAAUCUCUUCUCUGUAUAAUACAACUUGUUGAUAUUCAAUUUCAGGAAACAACCUUCAGUUUCUUUGCAGUAUUUGUAAAACUUGUUUGGCCCCUAGGGGUUGAUAUGGGAAACAGCUAUUGCAAGCAACGACAAAUAUGGUCCACGAAUGUUUCAUCAACGGUUAAAAAGUUGUUCUUGUUGGGAUUUGUCUCCCUUGUUUCGCCGAACAAUUCACAAUAAGUUUUGACUGAGUUUAACAGAAACGCUCACACAUCACAAUUACAUGCUAACGUAAGAAAAUUUACUCCAAUAUAAAUUCUUUGUAAAUUCCAGAUUCACUCAAUAGUCUUGAAAAAUGUUACGUAUUUAUGACGAAGAUAUUAAGAGAAAAAUUGUAAACUAAGCAAUUUAGUUUUUUAAGUGUUAAUUCCCUACUGCGCCUUUUGCUAUGUUUGCUGAAUCACUUCCAUAACGUAGGUUCGAGCUUUCCGGAUUGUGAUGAGGCGUUUUUGCUUCCCUACUUCUAAUCUUAACAAAUUGCGAAACAAAAAUAAUUAUACUUCGUGCAAGUUUUGAACAAUCUUACUUCAUUGGAAAAAUUAUACCAAAGUAACUGGAUUGAUCUAACAAUUUGUUGCGUUUCUUGUGUAGCCUGAACACAAAGUUUGAUCGUGCUAUUUAAAUUUCAGAUCAUUAUAUACCAUUAAACCUGAUUGAAAUUUGAAAUCAGUGUCUCUUAGAAGUUAUGAACAGCAAAAGUUUGACUGAGUAUAAAUCACUUUUCCUCGAAAGACAAAUUAAAAUACUUUAUCUAUGAAAAAUUGCAUGCAUGACGCUGUACUUCGGACUAAAGAGAAAUCAUGUGAGCUAUGCUAAUCCAAUCAAUCAACACGCCAUUUUUGGAAAAGCUAGACAAUCCAGUCAUAACAGCGUUAUAAUCUUUGCCAAUGAGCAACAGGCAUAAUAUACAUAUAUAUAUAUAUAUAGGCAUGCAAUGAUUCAAAAGACAACACUCAAAUAGUGGCAACUCUAUUCAAGCAAGUUAUGUUUACGACGCGGGAAACCACUCGAAAAUCGAUCAGCGUUCCUACAUUAUUUAUGUACGCAACACUGUUUUGUUGCGUUGCAAUCAGCGCACUGAAGCGCUGUGAGUUGGGACAAUUCCCAAGUGAAUAUGUGGAUAAUGGAUGCACUCCUUGUCCGAAUAAAAUUGAUAACUGCGAAAAACAAGGAGAAGAUAAAACAGCCUGUCUUAAUUGGUGUCGCUUGUUUACUACCAAGUGGCCACUCACUAAAUUAAGAACGACUACGACUUUGCUGCCAAAGACUAGGACAACUGUUGAUACAGGCAAAGAACUUGAGGAUGCAAUCCGAGAAAACGAUUUGGUCGACAAUCAAAAAAUAAGAAAGAAAAUUCGCCCAAGUGUUGCAGAGAUUGUUGUAAUAGCUAUGGUUUCCUUUUCAGUCUCUGUCAUUGCAAUUGCCGUUGUCGUGUUUUUAAGAUGAGAAGUCGAAGCAUGAUGAACAGAAAAAGAGCAGGAGAACAAUCCACUGGGAGUGACAAGCCUUCUCCAGUACGUGGCGACAACGUAAGGAGCAUCAAGAUUCAAACCGAAUCUUCUAGCUCCACUAUGAACAUGUCGGAGCAAUCUCCACCAAAAAAAGGUGUGCAAGAAUCACAGACGCGAUAGAUGGUGAAGGAACAAGGUGGUGAACAUGAACAGUCAAUACCUACAACCGAGGUCUCCGAUGUAUGUUAAGUUAGCAAUAGAGUUCGGGUAUAUAUUAUCACAAAUUAUAAUUUGAGCUCUAUAACUACAGAGUUGAUGAUUUUCGUAUAAAAACAGCUUUAGGUUUACUUGCAGAUGUUUUGCUUAUGAGCUGAUUUCUGGAAUUCGGUUUAGAACGAGCGUAUAAUGAAUAAAUUCAUUUCAAACUAA